GACGAACGCUGGCGGCGUGCUUAACACAUGCAAGUCGAACGGUGAAGCGCCUUCUUUUUUGGUUGGUGUGGUUGAGUGGCGAACGGGUGAGUAACACGUGCCUAACCUUUCCCUUUCUUUUGGUUAACCGCAUGAAAGCUUUUCUAAUACGGGAUAUUCUGGUUCUUUCGCGUGAUUGGUCUGUUUAUGUUAUUGUUUCGGUGCGGGCUGGUCUCGCGGCUUAUCAGCUUGUUGGUGGGGUGAUGGCCUACCAAGGCGGUGAGGGGAAGACGGCCUGGGAGGGUGGACGGUCACAAUGGGAGUGAGACACGGCGGAGACUCCGACGGGAGGCAGCAGUGGGGAGUAGGGCACAGUGGGGGCAAGCCUGAUGCAGCCACGACGCGUGAGGGACGGAGGCCCUCGGGUUGUGAACCUCUUUCGACAGUGAAGCGGGCCUGCCUCGGUUGUGGGUGGGUUGACGGUAGCUGGAUAAGAAGCGCCGGCUAACUACGUG
This 494-nucleotide ribosomal RNA is filed under the name uncultured bacterium. RNAcentral's name for it is "partial 16S ribosomal RNA". It matches the Rfam family "Bacterial small subunit ribosomal RNA", at positions 28 to 507 of the family's 1533-position model. The record is from RNAcentral.